Unclassified non-coding RNA from Dipodomys ordii (Ord's kangaroo rat), 321 nucleotides. Its record names the gene 7SK. It matches the Rfam family "7SK RNA". Rfam says of the family: 7SK was discovered as an abundant small nuclear RNA in the mid-70s but a possible function has only recently been suggested. Two independent studies have found that 7SK RNA binds the CDK9/cyclin T complex (known as elongation factor P-TEFb). P-TEFb activates transcription by phosphorylating the C-terminal domain of RNA polymerase II. The record is from Ensembl. Lineage: Eukaryota; Metazoa; Chordata; Mammalia; Rodentia; Heteromyidae.
GGAUGUGAGGGCGAUCUGGCUGCGACAUCUGUCACCCCAUUGAUCGCCAGGGUUGAUUCGGCUGAUCUGGCUGGCUAGGUAGGUGUCCCCUUCCUCCCUCACCGCUCCAUGUGCUUCCCUCCCGAAGCUGCUCGCUUGGUCAAAGAGGACGACCAUCCCUGAUAGAGGAGGACCGGUCUUCGGUCAAGGGUAUAGGAGUAGCUGCGCUCCCCUGCUAGAACCUCCAAACAAGCUCUCAAGGCCUAAAGACUUAAAGAGAGACUUCUCAGAAGAAGAAAUAGGAAUGGCCAAUAGACACAUGAAGGAAUGCUCAAUUUCUCU